RNAcentral lists this ribosomal RNA (305 nucleotides) under uncultured bacterium. Its description in RNAcentral is "bacterial SSU rRNA". It matches the Rfam family "Bacterial small subunit ribosomal RNA", at positions 333 to 638 of the family's 1533-position model. The record is from RNAcentral.
GUUAGCCUACGGGACGCAGCAGUGGGGAAUAUUGCACAAUGGGGGAAACCCUGAUGCAGCGACGCCGCGUGAGUGAAGAAGUAUCUCGGUACGUAAAGCUCUAUCAGCAGGGAAGAAAAAAAGUCCUUUGGACUUUGGACGGUACCUGACCAAGAAGCCCCGGCUAACUACGUGCCAGCAGCCGCGGUAAUACGUAGGGGGCAAGCGUUAUCCGGAUUUACUGGGUGUAAAGGGAGCGUAGACGGCAGCGCAAGUCUGGAGUGAAAUGCCGGGGCCCAACCCCGGAACUGCUUUGCAAACUGUGC